RNAcentral lists this microRNA precursor (94 nucleotides) under Daucus carota subsp. sativus. RNAcentral's name for it is "sRNA DCAR_mi00187". It matches the Rfam family "mir-166 microRNA precursor family". Rfam says of the family: This family represents the plant microRNA (miRNA) precursor mir-166. Animal miRNAs are transcribed as ~70nt precursors and subsequently processed by the Dicer enzyme to give a ~22nt product. Lineage: Eukaryota; Viridiplantae; Streptophyta; Magnoliopsida; Apiales; Apiaceae. The record is from Rfam by way of RNAcentral.
GCUGUGGGGAAUGCCGUCUGGUUCGAGGCCAACCCGAAGCACAAUAUCAUCGAUUCAUCGGAAUGAUCUCGGACCAGGCUUCAUUCCCCCCAGC